This 494-nucleotide ribosomal RNA is filed under the name uncultured bacterium. Its description in RNAcentral is "partial 16S ribosomal RNA". It matches the Rfam family "Bacterial small subunit ribosomal RNA", at positions 28 to 507 of the family's 1533-position model. The record is from RNAcentral.
GACGAACGCUGGCGGCGUGCUUAACACAUGCAAGUCGAACGGUGAAGCGCCUUCCUUUUUGGUGGGUGGGGAUGGGUGGCGAACGGGUUAGUAACACGUGAGUCACCUGCCCCCUUCUGCUGAAUAACCGCAUGAAAGUGUGGCUAAUACGGGAUAUUCUGGGUCGGUCGCAUGAUUGGUCUAGGACGGAUUUUGUUUCGGUGGGGGAUGGGCUCGCGGCCUAUCAGCUUGUUGGUGAGGUGAUGGCCUACCAAGGCGAUGAGGGGUAGCCGGCCUGAGAGGGUGGACCGCACUACAGGGACUGCGCGAUGCAGAAUCCUACUAGGGGAGGCAGUAGUGAAGAUUCUGGCAUGAUGGGAGGAAGGACGAUGCAGCGCCGCGGCGGUGGUGAUGGUGUUCGGAGCGUUGUGAACUUCUUUCGGGAGUGAAGAAGUCUGGAAGUGUCUGUGCGCGGCUUGACGGUAGCUGGACAGGAAGCGACGGCUAACUACGUG